This 253-nucleotide ribosomal RNA is filed under the name uncultured bacterium. RNAcentral's name for it is "partial 16S ribosomal RNA". It matches the Rfam family "Bacterial small subunit ribosomal RNA", at positions 524 to 776 of the family's 1533-position model. The record is from RNAcentral.
GACGAACCACACAAACGUUAUUCGGAAUUACUGGGCUUAAAGGGUGCGUAGGCGGCGCAGAAAGUUGGGUGUGAAAUACCUCGGCUCAACUGAGGAACUGCGCCCAAAACUGCUGUGCUCGAGGAAGAUAGAGGUGAGCGGAACUUACGGUGGAGCGGUGAAAUGCGUUGAUAUCGUAAGGAACACCUGUGGCGAAAGCGGCUCACUGGGUCUUUUCUGACGCUGAUGCACGAAAGCUAGGGGAGCAAACGGG